CGGCCCGCACAAGCAGCGGAGCGUGUGGUUUAAUUCGAUGUUACACGAAGAACCUUACCAGGGUUUGACAUAUAAGUAGUAGGGAACUGAAAAGGGACUGACCCUUCGGGGAGCUUAUACAGGUGCUGCAUGGCUGUCGUCAGCUCGUGUCGUGAGAUGUUCGGUUAAGUCCGCUAACGAGCGCAACCCUCGCUGUGUGUUACAAGUGUCACACGGAACUGCCGGUCAUAAACCGGAGGAAGGUGGGGAUGACGUCAAGUCAGCAUGGCCUUUAUAUCCUGGGCUACACACACGCUACAAUGGGAAGGGACAAUAGGUAGCAACAGCGCGAGCUGAAGCUAAUCCCCAAAGCCAUCCUCAGUACAGAUUGCAGGCUGAAACCCGCCUGCAUGAAGUCGGAGUUGCUAGUAACCGCAAAUCAGCAUGUUGCGGUGAAUACGUUCUCGGGCCUU
This 452-nucleotide ribosomal RNA is filed under the name uncultured Anaerolineaceae bacterium. RNAcentral's name for it is "bacterial SSU rRNA". It matches the Rfam family "Bacterial small subunit ribosomal RNA", at positions 918 to 1380 of the family's 1533-position model. The record is from RNAcentral. Lineage: Bacteria; Bacillati; Chloroflexota; Anaerolineae; Anaerolineales; Anaerolineaceae.